AUUUAUUAAUAUUCGUUGGAUAACAAUUUUCGUUGAUUUAGUGGGUAAAAUUUGUCCAAAAGAAUGUAUGCAGACUUUGCCAAAAGAACAAAUUCAAAUAUCCACGAAAAUACCAGUUUUAUAUAUAUCCCAUAUCUUAAUACAUGGUUAGAUGCAGCAUCUCAAAGAAGCCCACAGAUUUAAUUUAUCUUCUUAAAAAUAGACAAUAUUACCUAAAUUUUUAAAGGAGGUUGCUUCAUCAAAUAAAAAA
RNAcentral lists this long non-coding RNA (250 nucleotides) under Mytilus galloprovincialis (Mediterranean mussel). Lineage: Eukaryota; Metazoa; Mollusca; Bivalvia; Mytilida; Mytilidae. The record is from RNAcentral.